GACAGAGGGGGCGAGCGUUACCCGGAUUUACUGGGUGUAAAGGGCGUGUAGGCGGUCUCUCAAGUCCGAUGCUAAAGACCGAAGCUCAACUUCGGGGGUGCGUUGGAUACUGUGAGGCUAGACGGUCGGAGAGGGUAGCGGAAUUUCCGGAGUAGCGGUGAAAUGCGCAGAUACCGGAAGGAACGCCAAUAGCGAAGGCAGCUACCUGGACGAUUUGUGACGCUGAGGCGCGAAAGCGUGGGGAGCAAACCCG
This 253-nucleotide ribosomal RNA is filed under the name uncultured bacterium. RNAcentral's name for it is "partial 16S ribosomal RNA". It matches the Rfam family "Bacterial small subunit ribosomal RNA", at positions 524 to 776 of the family's 1533-position model. The record is from RNAcentral.